GACGAACGCUGGCGGCGUGCUUAACACAUGCAAGUCGAACGCUGAAGCCUAGCUUGCUGGGUGGAUGAGUGGCGAACGGGUGAGUAACACGUGAGUAACCUGCCCUCUUCUUUGGGAUAACGCCCGGAAACGGGUGCUAAUACUGGAUAUUCACUGAUCUUCGCAUGGGGGUUGGUGGAAAGGUUUUUUCUGGUGGGGGAUGGGCUCGCGGCCUAUCAGCUUGUUGGUGGGGUGAUGGCCUACCAAGGCUUUGACGGGUAGCCGGCCUGAGAGGGUGACCGGUCACAUUGGGACUGAGAUACGGCCCAGACUCCUACGGGAGGCAGCAGUGGGGAAUAUUGCACAAUGGGCGAAAGCCUGAUGCAGCGACGCCGCGUGAGGGAUGGAGGCCUUCGGGUUGUAAACCUCUUUCGCUCAUGGUCAAGCCGCAGCUUCGGGUUGUGGUGAGGGUAGUGGGUAAAGAAGCGCCGGCUAACUACGUGCCAGCAGCCGCGGUAAUACGUAGGGCGCGAGCGUUGUCCGGAAUUAUUGGGCGUAAAGGGCUUGUAGGCGGUUGGUCGCGUCUGCCGUGAAAUCCUCUGGCUUAACUGGGGGCGUGCGGUGGGUACGGGCUGACUUGAGUGCGGUAGGGGAGACUGGAACUCCUGGUGUAGCGGUGGAAUGCGCAGAUAUCAGGGAGAACACCGGUGGCGAAGGCGGGUCUCUGGGCCGUUACUGACGCUGAGGAGCGAAAGCGUGGGGAGCGAACAGG
This 751-nucleotide ribosomal RNA is filed under the name uncultured Actinomyces sp. RNAcentral's name for it is "bacterial SSU rRNA". It matches the Rfam family "Bacterial small subunit ribosomal RNA", at positions 28 to 776 of the family's 1533-position model. The record is from RNAcentral. Lineage: Bacteria; Bacillati; Actinomycetota; Actinomycetes; Actinomycetales; Actinomycetaceae.